UUUAAAAGGUCGUUUGAUUUAUCCAAAUUAAAUCACUAACAAGGAUCUGUUUUUCUAAUCUGGAUAUAUAUUAACGUUGUGGACUGAUUUAUAAUUUUACCAUUGGAAAGUAUUUUAAAUAAACCAGUUUUUGUGGACUCAUAAAAACAAAUUAACGGUAACUAUUGUGGGCUAUAUAAAUAGGAUUUCAUAUAUGGAAAAAAUCACGACUCACGAAAUUCUUCUUGCACUAAUUACUGUUAUUCACGAGUAAGUUGAUUCAAUCAGUGCAAUCUUUGAGCAGUUAAGCAAUUAAAUUUAUAAUAUUCUUUGAGCUGGGAUUUGGUAAGAUUUAAUUAUUUAUAUUUCUGUACUAAUUGAUCAUUGCAUAUAGUUGAGCCUUUAAUUGUUAAAUUGAUUAUUCUUGCAUUGAUCAUAGACCUCUAUAUUUGUAUUUAAUUUUCUAUUUAGACUAAGUGUAGUGUAAAGGUGUUAAUCCUAGUGGAUUAGAGAAAAGGCUUAUAAACAUAUUCAAGGAAGCAAAGGUGCUUGAAGAGUGCAUAGGUGCACAAGGAGCAAGAGUGCUCAAGAGAAAUUAAUUGUUAAUUAAUUUUUGUAAGAAUCUAUUUUGUAAUCGGU
This 618-nucleotide long non-coding RNA is filed under the name Panax ginseng (ginseng). RNAcentral describes it as "long non-coding RNA (PGIN_LNC009027)". Lineage: Eukaryota; Viridiplantae; Streptophyta; Magnoliopsida; Apiales; Araliaceae. The record is from RNAcentral.